This 700-nucleotide ribosomal RNA is filed under the name uncultured Gammaproteobacteria bacterium. RNAcentral's name for it is "bacterial SSU rRNA". It matches the Rfam family "Bacterial small subunit ribosomal RNA", at positions 42 to 738 of the family's 1533-position model. The record is from RNAcentral. Lineage: Bacteria; Pseudomonadati; Pseudomonadota; Gammaproteobacteria.
UCAGGCCUAACACAUGCAAGUCGAGCGAGAAAGCACCUUCGGGUGUGAGUAGAGCGGCGGACGGGUGAGUAACGCGUAGGAAUCUACCCGGUAGUGGGGGACAACUUGGGGAAACUCAAGCUAAUACCGCAUACGCCCUAUGGGGGAAAGCGGGGGACCUUCGGGCCUCGCGCUAUCGGAUGAGCCUGCGUUGGAUUAGCUAGUUGGUGGGGUAAUGGCUCACCAAGGCGACGAUCCAUAGCUGGUCUGAGAGGAUGAUCAGCCACACUGGGACUGAGACACGGCCCAGACUCCUACGGGAGGCAGCGGUGGGGAAUAUUGCGCAAUGGGCGAAAGCCUGACGCAGCCAUGCCGCGUGUGUGAAGAAGGCCCUAGGGUUGUAAAGCACUUUCAAUUGGGAGGAAAAGCUGCUGGUUAAUAGCCAGUAGCCCUGACGUUACCUUUAGAAGAAGCACCGGCUAACUCCGUGCCAGCAGCCGCGGUAAUACGGAGGGUGCGAGCGUUAAUCGGAAUUACUGGGCGUAAAGCGCGCGUAGGCGGUUUGUUAAGUCGGAUGUGAAAUCCCCGGGCUCAACCUGGGAACUGCAUCCGAUACUGGCCGACUAGAGUACGAGAGAGGGAGGUAGAAUUCCACGUGUAGCGGUGAAAUGCGUAGAUAUGUGGAGGAAUACCGGUGGCGAAGGCGGCCUCCUGGCUCGAU